Molecule: RNA transcript, 2047 nt
Organism: Abrus precatorius (Indian licorice)
Lineage: Eukaryota; Viridiplantae; Streptophyta; Magnoliopsida; Fabales; Fabaceae
Gene name: D-aminoacyl-tRNA deacylase
Exons: 6
Source: RefSeq, a predicted model, not a curated record
AUGCUGGUGCUAUCUAAUUUGGCGGCGGUGGCGGCACUGCAAUUUUCCAGUUCACGGCUCUGUUCGGUGCCGGGGGCGGUGGAGGCGACGGCAUUCUGCGUUUCAUUGUCUCGAUGAGCUUUUGAGGAGAAUCCAAGAAUGUCCCAUGAACUACAACAGAAUUAGAAGCGUAGCUAAUGAAACUAAAAUACGAAAGUAACAAGGCAAGCACAAGGAUGAAGGCAAAUGGGAAUGAUUUGGGAGCCAUAAUUUUCAUCAGGGUUGCAGUUCCACGUGUGGGAGGAGGAGCGGCAUUGGUACGCAUACGCAGAACAAAGCGAAUUGGGACUGCCACUGUGAGAGCCAUGCGAGCCGUGGUUCAGCGCGUGGCCUCUGCAUCCGUCGAAGUCGAAGGCCGCGUCGUCUCCGAGAUCGGCCCUGGCCUUCUCGUCCUGGUCGGAAUCCACGAUUCCGAUUCCGACGCCGACGCCGAUUACAUAUGUCGAAAGGUCUUGAAUAUGAGGUUGUUCGCUAAUGAAAACACAGGCAAAGCGUGGGACCACAAUGUAAUGCAAAAAAAUUAUCAAGUUUUAUUAGUGAGUCAAUUUACGUUGUAUGGAUUCCUGAAGGGUAAGAAGCCAGAUUUUCACGUUGCAAUGGGGCCUCAGAGAGCCAAGCCCUUCUAUGCUUCUUUAGUUGACAGGUUUAGGAACGCUUAUAAUUCUGAUGCAAUCAAGGGUGAGAGAUCUUAUGUUUCACCUUUCAUUUCUGUUUCUAUAAUUAUAUACUGUUUCACAGAUAUAGAAGCAUAUUUUUAUUUUUGUUUUGUCUCAUCUUUGAGUAAUAGCAAAUUGGAAUAGCUAUGCAUUUUUGUCCCAUUCAUAUAUUAAGAGAACCGAUUAUACUUUAAGCAUUUGAUGUAGCUAGAACUUGGAGUAUUAUUCUUAUUCUAUAGAAUAUGGAUAUAUAGUGAAUUGGAUUGGAGAAUUGGAGCCUUUUUCCUUUGUGAAACUGCGAUCAAAUUCUUUCACUUUUAUCUUUUCACUGGAUGUUGUAUUGUGGUCAACAAGCCGAAUGCCUGUGCAAUCUUUUCAUGCGAUGUAUCAAGUCAACUUGUUAGUUCAAAAAUUUGUUUGGCAUGCAAUUUCCUGUGUCUAUAGUCCUUUAUACCAAUCUUGAGAAUUUGAGAAUGCGCUAGUUAAAUUAUAAAAUCACAAUCUUGAGAAUUUGAGAAUGCUUUUGAUCAUGAAUACAUGAUGACCGAUCAAUUAUUCUCUCAUGGCCUUUGAAAUACAUUAGUAGUGCUAUGAUACUUGUCAAAACAGAUGUCCUUUGAGGAGUCUUAGUUGUAUUUGUGUUGAUUUGUAUUGAUUCAUUUUUAAUUUCUGUUGGAACCUUACUUUUAAGCUGCUUUCAAUUCCUUAUGCAGAUGGUGUUUUUGGAGCAAUGAUGAAGGUAAAUUUGGUUAAUGAUGGACCAGUUACCAUGCAGCUUGAUUCACAAUCACCCAAGAAUACAGUGGAUGCAGCAGAAUCAUGAUCAGGGAUUGAUCUAGCCUGAUAAAAAUGAGCUUGAAUUCAAGUACCUCUUCUGUCAGCAAGACCAAAUGUAAGACAUUUUUGUCUUGUUCAUUUUAGUUGAAGUGUUUCUUCCUCCAUGUAGUAACACCAUUUUGUAACACUAUUCAGUUGAAAGAAUGUCUAAGAUUGUCCCUCUCCGUUCUGCGAUCUGGGAAUAGUGUUUGAAUCCUUUUUGGCCAAACUAAUACCGGAUGGCUACUAAUCUGGGCAGCUGUUGCCUUGUCUGAAGUUCUAGUGGCCACAUGCCAAGUUAUAUUUUAACUGGUUCCACUGGGAAAACCUGUUGGAAUCCCCCCCCCCCCCCACACCACCACCACCAUAUUUAAUGUAGACCCCAAUUUUGUAGUAAAAGAAGUUCUUUCUUCUCUCCAUGAUUUUCUUUUCCUAGCAUGAGUGCCUGAUUGUGAUCAUGAAUGAUGAGUUAACCAAUGUACUCUUCUGCAUCUUUCUUUCUUUUUCUUCUUUCCUUUUCAUUCCUUUUUUAUCAA